GUCCUUAUUUUUUUUAUUUUUGUUCUUAGCCUUUUUGUAGAAUUUUUUUUGUUUUCAAUUUCACCAUUUAAUCUCAAUUUAUGAUAUAUUAUUUGUUUUUGAUAUUGUCCUUAUUCUUUUGAUUUUUAUUUUUUUUCCCUUCCAUAAAAUCUUUAUUUGUUUUCAAUUUUAUCCUUCAAUCCCAAUUUGUGAUUUAUUGUUUUCAUUUUAAUUCGGUCCUCACUCUUUUUGAUUUUUUUA
RNAcentral lists this long non-coding RNA (240 nucleotides) under Populus trichocarpa (black cottonwood). Its description in RNAcentral is "long non-coding RNA (PTRI_LNC000219)". Lineage: Eukaryota; Viridiplantae; Streptophyta; Magnoliopsida; Malpighiales; Salicaceae. The record is from RNAcentral.